AGUGAACGCUGGCGGUAGGCCUAACACAUGCAAGUCGAACGGCAGCACAGUAAGAGCUUGCUCUUACGGGUGGCGAGUGGCGGACGGGUGAGGAAUACAUCGGAAUCUACUUUUUCGUGGGGGAUAACGUAGGGAAACUUACGCUAAUACCGCAUACGACCUACGGGUGAAAGCAGGGGAUCUUCGGACCUUGCGCGAUUGAAUGAGCCGAUGUCGGAUUAGCUAGUUGGCGGGGUAAAGGCCCACCAAGGCGACGAUCCGGAGCUGGUCUGAGAGGAUGAUCAGCCACACUGGAACUGAGAAACGGUCCAGACUCCUACGGGAGGCAGCAGUGGGGAAUCUUGGACAAUGGGCGCAAGCCUGAUCCAGCCAUACCGCGUGGGUGAAGAAGGACUUCGGGUUCUUAAGCCCUUUUGUUGGGAAAGAAAAGCAGCAGGUUAAUACCCCGCUGUUCUGACGGUACCCAAAGAAUAAGCACCGGCUAACUUCGUG
This 492-nucleotide ribosomal RNA is filed under the name uncultured bacterium. RNAcentral's name for it is "partial 16S ribosomal RNA". It matches the Rfam family "Bacterial small subunit ribosomal RNA", at positions 29 to 507 of the family's 1533-position model. The record is from RNAcentral.